RNAcentral lists this ribosomal RNA (385 nucleotides) under uncultured eukaryote. RNAcentral describes it as "partial 18S ribosomal RNA". It matches the Rfam family "Eukaryotic small subunit ribosomal RNA", at positions 1470 to 1796 of the family's 1831-position model. The record is from RNAcentral.
CCCUUAGAUGUCCGGGGCCGCACGCGCGCUACACUGAAGACGAAAGCGCGAGUGCCUACGGUCUUGGUUUGGUCAGGCCGGGAACCCGCCCCCGAGGGGAGGUUGGGGCUGUUCCUUCACGGGGGCAGUCUCGCCUGCUGCGGGUUAACCGUGCCAAUCGUCUUCGUGCUGGGGAUCGGGGCUUGCAACUCAGCCCCGUGAACGAGGAAUUCCGAGUAGGCGUCCGUCAUCAGCUGGCGCCGAUUAAGUCCCUGCCUUUUGUACACACCGCCCGUCGCUACCUCCGAUAGAAUGGCUAAGCGAGGCCGUUGGACUGGGGCACCUUUCGAGGAGUCACGGAAAGGCGUUCGAGCUUAAUCAUUUAGAGGAAGUAAAAGUCGUAACA